UUUAAUAUGGCAGAUCAGUGCAAUAGGUUUAAACCCUAUAUACAAAGACCUAUUCUUUUAUUAAA
RNAcentral lists this transfer RNA (65 nucleotides) under Colobopsis cylindrica s.l. LE. Its description in RNAcentral is "tRNA-Leu". Lineage: Eukaryota; Metazoa; Arthropoda; Insecta; Hymenoptera; Formicidae. The record is from RNAcentral.